Molecule: long non-coding RNA, 441 nt
Organism: Coregonus clupeaformis (lake whitefish)
Lineage: Eukaryota; Metazoa; Chordata; Actinopteri; Salmoniformes; Salmonidae
Exons: 4
Source: RefSeq, a predicted model, not a curated record
UGAUUAGGUGCCAGGAGCUGAUCUACACUGCAAUGCCCAUCAAUGGGUCGCUGGCAAAGACCUCACCUCCAGCCUCACCUCUUGCCCGCUCAUCAUCGGUCGUCGAUGGGGAGAACAGAAUUAGAUGCAGAGAGACCUGGCACGCAACACAUCCACAAUGAGAUGGACUGGAGAUGUUUUUGCCAGACGGCAGCCUCAGUCGUUUGAUGUGGAGACCAUAAUUGGAUGCAUCGAUGUAGUCAGCACUUGGAGACUUGCAAGAUGAUGUGAUGAAGUCCAGACUGACAGACGGGCUUGAUACUGAUGUCUCUGAAUUGAGACACCUGGGCCCAGUUGCAUAAAACAACGGAGAGACUUAGCACUCGGCAUAACAUUUUUAAUAGACAACUUCUACUUGUAUUGUCUUUUUUUUAAAUUAUUGAGUUGAAUUGUAUCAGUCAA